This 253-nucleotide ribosomal RNA is filed under the name uncultured bacterium. RNAcentral's name for it is "partial 16S ribosomal RNA". It matches the Rfam family "Bacterial small subunit ribosomal RNA", at positions 524 to 776 of the family's 1533-position model. The record is from RNAcentral.
UACGUAGGGGGCAAGCGUUGUCCGGAUUUAUUGGGCGUAAAGAGCGUGUAGGCGGCUAUACAGGUCCGCUGUGAAAACUCGAGGCUCAACCUCGAGACGUCGGUGGAAACCGUAUGGCUAGAGUCCGGAAGAGGAAAGUGGAAUUCCGCGUGUAGUGGUGAAAUGCGUAGAGAUGCGGAGGAACACCAGUGGCGAAAGCGACUUUCUGGUCCUUAACUGACGCUGAGGCGCGAAAGCAUGGGGAGCGAACGGG